AACACGUGGGCAACCUGCCCUGCAGAUGGGGAUAACUCCGGGAAACCGGGGCUAAUACCGAAUAAUCAGUUCCUUCGCAUGAAGGAACUCUGAAAGACGGUUUCGGCUGUCACUGCAGGAUGGGCCCGCGGCGCAUUAGCUAGUUGGUGGGGUAAUGGCCUACCAAGGCGACGAUGCGUAGCCGACCUGAGAGGGUGAUCGGCCACACUGGGACUGAGACACGGCCCAGACUCCUACGGGAGGCAGCAGUAGGGAAUCUUCCACAAUGGACGAAAGUCUGAUGGAGCAACGCCGCGUGAGCGAAGAAGGUUUUCGGAUCGUAAAGCUCUGUUGUAAGGGAAGAACAAGUACGGGAGUAACUGUCCGUACCUUGACGGUACCUUAUUAGAAAGCCACGGCUAACUACGUGCCAGCAGCCGCGGUAAUACGUAGGUGGCAAGCGUUGUCCGGAAUUAUUGGGCGUAAAGCGCGCGCAGGCGGUCCUUUAAGUCUGUUGUGAAAGCCCACGGCUCAACCGUGGAGGGUCAUUGGAAACUGGGGGGACUUGAGUACAGAAGAGGAAAGCGGAAUUCCACGUGUAGCGGUGAAAUGCGUAGAGAUGUGGAGG
This 607-nucleotide ribosomal RNA is filed under the name uncultured bacterium. RNAcentral's name for it is "bacterial SSU rRNA". It matches the Rfam family "Bacterial small subunit ribosomal RNA", at positions 112 to 704 of the family's 1533-position model. The record is from RNAcentral.